This 2540-nucleotide ribosomal RNA is filed under the name Salmonella enterica subsp. enterica serovar Typhimurium. Its description in RNAcentral is "partial 23S ribosomal RNA". It matches the Rfam family "Bacterial large subunit ribosomal RNA", at positions 362 to 2802 of the family's 2925-position model. The record is from RNAcentral. Lineage: Bacteria; Pseudomonadati; Pseudomonadota; Gammaproteobacteria; Enterobacterales; Enterobacteriaceae.
GGGUGACAGCCCCGUACACAAAAGCGCAUGUGCUGUGAGCUCGAUGAGUAGGGCGGGACACGUGGUAUCCUGUCUGAAUAUGGGGGGACCAUCCUCCAAGGCUAAAUACUCCUGACUGACCGAUAGUGAACCAGUACCGUGAGGGAAAGGCGAAAAGAACCCCGGCGAGGGGAGUGAAAAAGAACCUGAAACCGUGUACGUACAAGCAGUGGGAGCACAGGUUUACCUGUGUGACUGCGUACCUUUUGUAUAAUGGGUCAGCGACUUAUAUUCUGUAGCAAGGUUAACCGUAUAGGGGAGCCGGAGGGAAACCGAGUCUUAAUUGGGCGUUAAGUUGCAGGGUAUAGACCCGAAACCCGGUGAUCUAGCCAUGGGCAGGUUGAAGGUUGGGUAACACUAACUGGAGGACCGAACCGACUAAUGUUGAAAAAUUAGCGGAUGACCUGUGGCUGGGGGUGAAAGGCCAAUCAAACCGGGAGAUAGCUGGUUCUCCCCGAAAGCUAUUUAGGUAGCGCCUCGUGAAUUCAUCUCCGGGGGUAGAGCACUGUUUCGGCUAGGGGGCCAUCCCGGCUUACCAACCCGAUGCAAACUGCGAAUACCGGAGAAUGUUAUCACGGGAGACACACGGCGGGUGCUAACGUCCGUCGUGAAGAGGGAAACAACCCAGACCGCCAGCUAAGGUCCCAAAGUCAUGGUUAAGUGGGAAACGAUGUGGGAAGGCCCAGACAGCCAGGAUGUUGGCUUAGAAGCAGCCAUCAUUUAAAGAAAGCGUAAUAGCUCACUGGUCGAGUCGGCCUGCGCGGAAGAUGUAACGGGGCUAAACCAUGCACCGAAGCUGCGGCAGCGAACGUAUCACCCAAGACAACUUUACGGAGUUGACGAUUGACGGAGCGAAGCGACGUCAAAGCGUUCAUUAAAGUCGAGUUGGCUUAGGGAUACGUUCGUUGGGUAGGGGAGCGUUCUGUAAGCCUGUGAAGGUGUGUCGUGAGGCAUGCUGGAGGUAUCAGAAGUGCGAAUGCUGACAUAAGUAACGAUAAAGCGGGUGAAAAGCCCGCUCGCCGGAAGACCAAGGGUUCCUGUCCAACGUUAAUCGGGGCAGGGUGAGUCGACCCCUAAGGCGAGGCCGAAAGGCGUAGUCGAUGGGAAACGGGUUAAUAUUCCCGUACUUGGUGUUACUGCGAAGGGGGGACGGAGAAGGCUAUGUUGGCCGGGCGACGGUUGUCCCGGUUUAAGCGUGUAGGUGUGUGUUCCAGGUAAAUCCGGUUCACUUUAACACUGAGGCGUGACGACGAGGCACUACGGUGCUGAAGCAACAAAUGCCCUGCUUCCAGGAAAAGCCUCUAAGCAUCAGGUAACAUCAAAUCGUACCCCAAACCGACACAGGUGGUCAGGUAGAGAAUACCAAGGCGCUUGAGAGAACUCGGGUGAAGGAACUAGGCAAAAUGGUGCCGUAACUUCGGGAGAAGGCACGCUGACACGUAGGUGAAGUGAUUUACUCAUGGAGCUGAAGUCAGUCGAAGAUACCAGCUGGCUGCAACUGUUUAUUAAAAACACAGCACUGUGCAAACACGAAAGUGGACGUAUACGGUGUGACGCCUGCCCGGUGCCGGAAGGUUAAUUGAUGGGGUCAGCGCAAGCGAAGCUCCUGAUCGAAGCCCCGGUAAACGGCGGCCGUAACUAUAACGGUCCUAAGGUAGCGAAAUUCCUUGUCGGGUAAGUUCCGACCUGCACGAAUGGCGUAAUGAUGGCCAGGCUGUCUCCACCCGAGACUCAGUGAAAUUGAACUCGCUGUGAAGAUGCAGUGUACCCGCGGCAAGACGGAAAGACCCCGUGAACCUUUACUAUAGCUUGACACUGAACAUUGAGCCUUGAUGUGUAGGAUAGGUGGGAGGCUUUGAAGUGUGGACGCCAGUCUGCAUGGAGCCGACCUUGAAAUACCACCCUUUAAUGUUUGAUGUUCUAACGUGGACCCGUAAUCCGGGUUGCGGACAGUGUCUGGUGGGUAGUUUGACUGGGGCGGUCUCCUCCUAAAGAGUAACGGAGGAGCACGAAGGUUGGCUAAUCCUGGUCGGACAUCAGGAGGUUAGUGCAAUGGCAUAAGCCAGCUUGACUGCGAGCGUGACGGCGCGAGCAGGUGCGAAAGCAGGUCAUAGUGAUCCGGUGGUUCUGAAUGGAAGGGCCAUCGCUCAACGGAUAAAAGGUACUCCGGGGAUAACAGGCUGAUACCGCCCAAGAGUUCAUAUCGACGGCGGUGUUUGGCACCUCGAUGUCGGCUCAUCACAUCCUGGGGCUGAAGUAGGUCCCAAGGGUAUGGCUGUUCGCCAUUUAAAGUGGUACGCGAGCUGGGUUUAGAACGUCGUGAGACAGUUCGGUCCCUAUCUGCCGUGGGCGCUGGAGAACUGAGGGGGGCUGCUCCUAGUACGAGAGGACCGGAGUGGACGCAUCACUGGUGUUCGGGUUGUCAUGCCAAUGGCACUGCCCGGUAGCUAAAUGCGGAAGAGAUAAGUGCUGAAAGCAUCUAAGCACGAAACUUGCCCCGA